Molecule: ribosomal RNA, 707 nt
Filed under: uncultured fungus
Lineage: Eukaryota; Fungi
Description: eukaryotic LSU rRNA
Rfam family: 5.8S ribosomal RNA (bases 274-428)
Source: RNAcentral
CUUGGNUCAUUUAGAGGANGUAAAAGUCGUAACAAGGUUUCCGUAGGUGAACCUGCGGAAGGAUCAUUACCGAGUCGUCGACACGAGUUGUUGCUGGCCCCUCAAACGGGGGGCAUGUGCACGCUCUGUUAACACAUCCACUCACACCUGUGCACACUCCGUAGUUCUAUGGUCUGGGGGACAUGCCGUCUUCCUCCUGUAGUUCUGCGUCUUUACACAUACACUGUAGAAAAGUCUUAUGGAAUGCUUACCGCGUCUAACGCAAUACAAUACAACUUUCAGCAACGGAUCUCUUGGCUCUCGCAUCGAUGAAGAACGCAGCGAAAUGCGAUAAGUAAUGUGAAUUGCAGAAUUCAGUGAAUCAUCGAAUCUUUGAACGCACCUUGCGCCCCUUGGCUAUUCCGAGGGGCAUGCCUGUUUGAGUAUCAUGAACACCUCAACUCUUGUGGUUCGCCAUGAAGAGCUUGGACUUGGGGGCUUGCUGGCGCACAGCCGGCUCCUCUCAAAUGAAUUAGCCUGCCAGUGUUUGGUGGCGUCACCGGUGUGAUAACUAUUUACGCUUGUGGUUGCCUGCCAGGUAACCUUCGGUGACGGAGGUUCGCUGGAGCUUAUAAACGUCUUUCCUUGGUGAAGACAGCUUUUUGAACGUUCGAUCUCAAAUCAGGUAGGACUACCCGCUGAACUUAAGCAUAUCAAUAAGCGGAGGA